UAGUGGCGACGGGUGAGUAACACGUGAGUAACCUGCCCUUGACUCUGGGAUAAGCCUGGGAAACCGGGUCUAAUACUGGAUACGACCUUCCCGCGCAUGCGGUGUUGGUGGAAAGCUUUUGUGGUUUUGGAUGGACUCGCGGCCUAUCAGCUUGUUGGUGGGGUAAUGGCCUACCAAGGCGACGACGGGUAGCCGGCCUGAGAGGGUGACCGGCCACACUGGGACUGAGACACGGCCCAGACUCCUACGGGAGGCAGCAGUGGGGAAUAUUGCACAAUGGGCGCAAGCCUGAUGCAGCGACGCCGCGUGAGGGAUGAAGGCCUUCGGGUUGUAAACCUCUUUCAGUAGGGAAGAAGCCGCUCUUUCGGGGGUGGUGACGGUACUUGCAGAAGAAGCGCCGGCUAACUACGUGCCAGCAGCCGCGGUAAUACGUAGGGCGCAAGCGUUAUCCGGAAUUAUUGGGCGUAAAGAGCUCGUAGGCGGUUUGUCGCGUCUGCCGUGAAAGUCCGGGGCUUAACCCCGGAUCUGCGGUGGGUACGGGCAGACUAGAGUGCAGUAGGGGAGACUGGAAUUCCUGGUGUAGCGGUGAAAUGCGCAGAUAUCAGGAGGAACACCGAUGGCGAAGGCAGGUCUCUGGGCUGUAACUGACGCUGAGGAGCGAAAGCAUGGGGAGCGAACAGGAUUAGAUACCCUGGUAGUCCAUGCCGUAACGUUGGGCACUAGGUGUGGGGGACAUUCCACGUUUUCCGCGCCGUAG
This 757-nucleotide ribosomal RNA is filed under the name Arthrobacter sp. RNAcentral's name for it is "bacterial SSU rRNA". It matches the Rfam family "Bacterial small subunit ribosomal RNA", at positions 93 to 851 of the family's 1533-position model. Lineage: Bacteria; Bacillati; Actinomycetota; Actinomycetes; Micrococcales; Micrococcaceae. The record is from RNAcentral.